CAAAGGAAUUGACGGGGCCCGCACGAAGCGGUGGAGCAUGUGGUUAAUUCGAUGCAACGCGAAGAACUUACCUAGGCUUGACAUCCCUGGAAUUUUGUGGAAACACAAAAGUGCCUUUCGGGAACUCAGACACAGGUGCUGCAUGGCUGUCGUCAGCUCGUGUCGUGAGGUGUUCGGUUAAGUCCGGCAACGAGCGCAACCCGUAUCGUCAGUUACCAUCGGGUCAUGCCGGGGACUCUGGCGAGACUGCCCGUGUCAAGCGGGAGGAAGGCGCGGAUGACGUCAAGUCAGUAUGGCUCUUACGCCCAGGGCUGCACACGUGCUACAAUGGCCGGUACAGUGGGAAGCGACACCGCGAGGUGGAGCCAAUCCCCAAAACCGGCCCCAGUUCAGAUUGCAGUCUGCAACUCGACUGCAUGAAGUCGGAAUCGCUAGUAAAGGCGUAUCAGCAACGACGCCUUGAAUACGUUCCCGGGCCUU
This 480-nucleotide ribosomal RNA is filed under the name uncultured Victivallaceae bacterium. Its description in RNAcentral is "bacterial SSU rRNA". It matches the Rfam family "Bacterial small subunit ribosomal RNA", at positions 902 to 1382 of the family's 1533-position model. The record is from RNAcentral. Lineage: Bacteria; Pseudomonadati; Lentisphaerota; Lentisphaeria; Victivallales; Victivallaceae.